RNAcentral lists this ribosomal RNA (506 nucleotides) under uncultured bacterium. RNAcentral describes it as "partial 16S ribosomal RNA". It matches the Rfam family "Bacterial small subunit ribosomal RNA", at positions 28 to 523 of the family's 1533-position model. The record is from RNAcentral.
GAUGAACGCUAGCUACAGGCUUAACACAUGCAAGUCGAGGGGUAACGAGAGGAAAGCUUGCUUUCCUUGUCGACGACCGGCGCACGGGUGAGUAACGCGUAUCCAACCUGCCCCCAACUAAGGAAUAACCUUGCGAAAGUAAGUCUAAUACCUUAUAAUUUCCUCAGAUGCCAUCUGACGAGGAAUAAAGAUUUAUCGGUUGUGGAUGGGGAUGCGUCUGAUUAGCUUGUUGGCGGGGUAACGACCCACCAAGGCAACGAUCAGUAGGGGUUCUGAGAGGAAGGUCCCCCACAUUGGAACUGAGACACGGUCCAAACUCCUACGGGAGGCAGCAGUGAGGAAUAUUGGUCAAUGGGCGAAAGCCUGAACCAGCCAAGUAGCGUGCAGGAUGACGGCCCUAUGGGUUGUAAACUGCUUUUAUACAGGAAUAAAGUUAGCCACGUGUGGUUAUUUGUAGGUACUGUAUGAAUAAGGACCGGCUAAUUCCGUGCCAGCCGCCGCGGUAA